UACGUAGGGGGCAAGCGUUGUCCGGAUUCAUUGGGCGUAAAGCGCGUGUAGGCUGCUUGGAAAGUCGGAUGUGAAAGCCCUGGGCUUAACCCAGGAAGUGCACUCGAAACUUCCAAGCUCGAGUCCUGGAGAGGGUGGCGGAAUUCUCGGUGUAGAGGUGAAAUUCGUAGAUAUCGAGAGGAACACCGGUGGCGAAGGCGGCUACCUGGACAGUGACUGACGCUGAGACGCGAAAGCGUGGGGAGCAAACAGG
This 253-nucleotide ribosomal RNA is filed under the name uncultured bacterium. RNAcentral's name for it is "partial 16S ribosomal RNA". It matches the Rfam family "Bacterial small subunit ribosomal RNA", at positions 524 to 776 of the family's 1533-position model. The record is from RNAcentral.